RNAcentral lists this long non-coding RNA (1032 nucleotides) under Homo sapiens (human). RNAcentral describes it as "HSALNT0388673". The record is from RNAcentral. Lineage: Eukaryota; Metazoa; Chordata; Mammalia; Primates; Hominidae.
UGGCCUCCCAAAGUGCUAGGAUUACAGGUGUGAGCCACGGCGCCCUGAGGACUGGCAGACCCAUCUGACUUUCUUGGAGUAGAGGAGGAAGAGGAGGAAGAAGAGGUGCAGGAGGAAGACCAGUGUUGAUUGAGCCAGCGGGAAGCAGAAUCUCUGGAGGGCCAUGCAGAGCCUUGGGGACUGACCAAGUUCCCCCACUGAGGGGUCCCAGGUGAGCCACUGUUCCCUGCCCACCCCAUCUGUUGUCCUCCCCAGGCUGUCAGCUCCACCCGGGUCUGGCUUGGUUCAGGUGCCUUCCAGAAGUGGCAGGUCUCAGGGGCUCACCCUGCCCCCCUCCCCCAGGCUCCUCCCUCUCUCCAUCCUGUGAGUCCUGAGGGGCCGGCUUCAGGCUGGGCUCCCAUUACCAGGCCCAGGUCCCUUCCCUGCACCACUCCCGGGGCCUUCAGUUGCAUGCUCUGUUGUCCCCCUGGCCUCAGUGAGAAGCCCAGGCCAGGGCCCUGCCCUUCUUCCACAACCUACCAGGGCCAGGGCCAAGGCCCUCACUGUCCCUAUGCCCCUUCCUCAUGGCUGAGCCCCCUGAGCCCUCAGAGAUCUGCUAUACAACUGCCCAGAGGCCAGGCCAGGUGCCCUCUUGCCCUGUGGCCACAACCCUCAGAUCUCACCAAGGCAGGCCCCAAGGGAACAGGGCCAGAUCCUCAGGCUGCCCCUCCUCUCCAGCUUACUUGGAGACCACAGUGCUGAGAGCCCACGGGCCUGCUCUAGUCCCCUCUCUGUCCCUACCCCCUCUCCUGAGCUCCCUAAAUGUGUCAUGAGGCUGUGCCCUAACCCUGACCACAGGCUGGACCGACAGGAGAGCCUGGGAGGAGUUCUGACCCUGGAGAGGAGGUUGGCCCAGCCAGGGAGACAUGUCCUGCUUCAGAGAGGCCUUUCUAAAAACAAAACCCAUCCCUGAGGAAGCAAGACAUCUGGUGACUGCUCCGUUCUACCCCAAUUCUCACUCACUCUGGCCAGUGAAGCCGCUUCAGGAACAAC